ACGUAUGGAGCAAGCGUUAUCCGGAUUUACUGGGUGUAAAGGGAGUGUAGGUGGCAUCACAAGUCAGAAGUGAAAGCCCGGGGCUCAACCCCGGGACUGCUUUUGAAACUGUGGAGCUGGAGUGCAGGAGAGGCAAGUGGAAUUCCUAGUGUAGCGGUGAAAUGCGUAGAUAUUAGGAGGAACACCAGUGGCGAAGGCGGCUUGCUGGACUGUAACUGACACUGAGGCUCGAAAGCGUGGGGAGCAAACAG
This 251-nucleotide ribosomal RNA is filed under the name uncultured bacterium. Its description in RNAcentral is "partial 16S ribosomal RNA". It matches the Rfam family "Bacterial small subunit ribosomal RNA", at positions 525 to 775 of the family's 1533-position model. The record is from RNAcentral. RNAcentral also lists the same sequence under 1 other name.